UGUGGGCAUCGUCCAGGGAGCUUCAAGGGAAUUGGGGACAGCUUUGCAGGCACAGAAAGGAGAAGGCUGGGAUUCACUCAGACCACACGCUGCGACGUCUGCCUAGUGGAUGGCCAGCCAGAUGCACAUGGUGUGUGAGGCACUUUGUGGCAGAGGCGGGCAGGGAGGUGGAAGCCUUCCAGUUAUUUCUGAGUUGACUGAUGUGAGAUUGUCAGUCACACUGCCAGGCGCUGUUUUGACUCCACUCAUCAAGAUUUGCCCUGUGCAGCUCCAAAAAAGGUAUCUGCUUUGAAAGUAGUGUUCUGCGUUCUUGGAGCAGAUGACUGGUGACAACAUCCAAUUAAAUAUAAACGCUUGGCCGGGGAACUUGACUUGGAGGGUUGGUGAAGUUUCAGGUCUAACUUGUUAAACUUGGCCUUCCUCAAAUACUGGACAACUUUCUCCAAAAACAGCACUUCAGGGAAUCAAACCUAAUUAUAAGUGGCAUCUUCAAUUAGACAUAGAUCUCCAUCAGCCACCUUCCUGCCUCGGGAAAGGCGUACGUCAACCCCAGGCUAGAGAAAGGAUCUGUGAUACCUGAUGACUUCUUUGUCUUUCCCACUGGUUCAAUCCUAUUUCAGCCAUUCAUGAGAUGAAUAUCUACGAGGCAUUUACAGGGAGGAAGGCACAUAUCUGCGGAGGUGACGACUGGGCUGAUGUGAUUCUGUGAACCACUUGAGAAAAGAGGCUUUGGCUUUAUCUUCAUACUUCCGACACCUAGCAGAGUGCCUGCUGCCUGGCAUGGGAGAGCCUCAGUUUGGCAACUGACUUCCAGGGGACAUUGUGAAAGCUGGUUGACUCUUGGUCACGUGUUGCAGUGAUGAGCCGGUAGCAUCCUUGACUCUGAGCACCUCCCUCCCCCUACUGGGAGGUUACCCCACUUGUUCUUCACCAUCGUGGCCACCACUGGACCCUAGUGUCUCAUUUCACACUACAGGCUCCCCCUGUAAAAUAAAAUUGAUAAGAGGCUUUCUCACUAGUCAGA
Leopardus geoffroyi (Geoffroy's cat) is the source of this 1024-nucleotide long non-coding RNA. RefSeq lists it as uncharacterized. The record is from RefSeq and is a predicted model, not a curated record. NCBI's taxonomy places the organism in Eukaryota, Metazoa, Chordata, Mammalia, Carnivora, Felidae. The transcript is spliced from 2 exons.